This 156-nucleotide ribosomal RNA is filed under the name uncultured bacterium. Its description in RNAcentral is "partial 16S ribosomal RNA". It matches the Rfam family "Bacterial small subunit ribosomal RNA", at positions 356 to 504 of the family's 1533-position model. The record is from RNAcentral.
AGGGAAUCUUCGGCAAUGGGCGAAAGCCUGACCGAGCAACGCCGCGUGAAUGAAGAAGGCCUUCGGGUUGUAAAAUUCUGUUAUAAGGGAAGAAAGGUGAUAGGAGGAAAUGACUAUCAAUUGACGGUACCUUAUGAGAAAGCCACGGCUAACUAC